This 481-nucleotide ribosomal RNA is filed under the name uncultured bacterium. RNAcentral's name for it is "bacterial SSU rRNA". It matches the Rfam family "Bacterial small subunit ribosomal RNA", at positions 28 to 519 of the family's 1533-position model. The record is from RNAcentral.
GACGAACGCUGGCGGCGUGCUUAACACAUGCAAGUCAAGGGGGCCCAGCAAUGGGCAACCGGCGAACGGGUGCGUAACACGUGAGCAACCUACCGAACUGUGGGGGAUAGCCGGCCUAACGGCCGAGUAAUACCGCAUACGCUCUCAGUGAGGCAUUUCAUUGAGAGGAAACCUACGGGACAGAUCGAGGGGCUCGCGGCCUAUCAGCUAGUUGGCGAGGUAACGGCNCACCAAGGCAACGACGGGUAGCUGGUCUGAGAGGAUGGCCAGCCACAUUGGGACUGAGAUACGGCCCAGACUCCUACGGGAGGCAGCAGUGGGGAAUCUUGCGCAAUGGCCUAACGGCUGACGCAGCGACGCCGCGUGUGGGAUGAAGCUCUUCGGAGUGUAAACCACUGUUGCCCGGGACGAACAGCUCGAUUAGUCGAGCCUGACGGUACCGGGUGAGGAAGCACCGGCUAACUCCGUGCCAGCCGCCGCA